RNAcentral lists this long non-coding RNA (798 nucleotides) under Marmota monax (woodchuck). Lineage: Eukaryota; Metazoa; Chordata; Mammalia; Rodentia; Sciuridae. The record is from RNAcentral.
UCCAGAUUUUAAGGAAAGCAUUAUGAAUUCUUCAGAUGAAGGUGAGAUGUGUUGAUGCAGCUGUCCAUGGCUAACUUGAUAGAGAAAGGAGAAAAACUCAGGAAAUGCAAAGGAAGACUGAUCAGCUGAACAGAAGCCACCUGCCCAGCAGGCUUGCCUGAGGAGUGCGCAGGACCAAAAAGGACCUGGUUUCUCUUUAAAAUCAAGAUGGGCAAAACAUUCAUCUUGCUCACCUGAAGUGAACCAGGGUGGACCCGAGAAGGCAGGCAAAAUCAUGUUGUGACUGCACUAUAUACCUGUAAGCUGCCUACUAGUUUAAAUUAUUUACCAAGUAGCCCAUUCAUUCAUUCUGAACAGCUCAUAAUAAGUGUAAGCAGUCUGUGAUCCAUUAUGGAGAGAGGUUUCUGGAAAGAAUAGAGGCAGUGGUACAAGUUCAAAGUUGUUAAUUAAAGAGAUGAAUGCAACAUACACCAUCUUUUAGCUCUUGAGCAAUGAGUACAGCUGCCAGGACCACAUCUGUCUAUGAAAACUAGAGAGGUUGACAGUGAGGAAUCUCUUUGAAGCUAUCCCAUAACAAGACCUACUGUACGAUGCAGCUUCUGAAACCCUGAGAUCUCAAAGCCUGUCACUGGCUGUCCCACCACUCUCCUCCAGGAUGGCUAGGCCCCAGCCCUUCAAAGACUCACUUCUCAGACUUCAGCAUAAUCAUCUCUACCACACCCUCCAUCUAGCAAGACCUGUAUGUCUUGCCAGAAGGAAAUAACUAUGGAAUUGAGUUCACUGGAUUCUAGAAUCCAG